UACGUAGGGGGCAAGCGUUGUCCGGAAUCAUUGGGCGUAAAGAGCUCGUAGGCGGCUUGUCGCGUCGACUGUGAAAACCCGGGGCUUAACUUCGGGCUGGCAGUCGAUACGGGCGGGCUGGAGUUCGGUAGGGGAGACUGGAAUUCCUGGUGUAGCGGUGAAAUGCGCAGAUAUCGGAAGGAACACCAGUGGCGAAAGCGGCUUCCUGGUCCAGCAUCGACGUUCAGGCACGAAAGCGUGGGGAUCAAACAGG
This 253-nucleotide ribosomal RNA is filed under the name uncultured bacterium. Its description in RNAcentral is "partial 16S ribosomal RNA". It matches the Rfam family "Bacterial small subunit ribosomal RNA", at positions 524 to 776 of the family's 1533-position model. The record is from RNAcentral.